GCUCUUCAACGAGGAAUCCCUAGUAAGCACAAGUCAUUAGCUUGUGCUGAUUACGUCCCUGCCCUUUGUACACACCGCCCGUCGCUACUACCGAUUGAAUGGCUUAGUGAGGCCUUCGGAUUGAGAUUCGGAGUUUGGCAACAGACCCUGGGUUUUGAAAAGUUGGUCAAACUUGGUCAUUUAGAGGAAGUAAAAGUCGUAACAAGGUUUCCGUAGGUGAACCUGCGGAAGGAUCAUUACCAAUUUUAGCGAACCAAACCUUGAGUUAUGGUCUCGCGAAAAACUGUAUUUAAAACCCCACUCUUUAUAAAAUGAAUCUAUUAAUAUAAUGAUAAAUAAAUCAGAUCACUUUCAACAACGGAUCUCUUGGCUCUCGCAUCGAUGAAGAACGUAGCGAAAUGCGAUAAGUAAUGUGAAUUGCAGAAUUCCGUGAAUCAUCGAAUCUUUGAACGCAAAUUGCGCUCUCUGGCAUUCCGGAGAGUAUGCCUGUUUGAGGGUCAGUAUAAAUAAAUCGGUAUGUUGCUUUUUUUUGUAACGUUCCGGAGUUUGGGUUAUCUUAGCUUUUUAAGGUUUCAGAAACUUAAAAUUAAUCUUUUUUGCGCAUUUUUAGACGUACAUAAAAUUUUUUUUAUUCGUCUAUUUUAAUGUCAAAAUUUUAUUAGAUACAAUCAUAUCAUGUGGUUUCCGCAUCUAUGUUUUUCAUAAUUUGACCUCAAAUCAGUAGGAGUACCCGCUGAACUUAAGCAUAUCAAUAAGCGGAGGAAAAGAAAAUACAUGAUUCCUUAGUAACUGCGAGUGAAGAAGGAGAAGCUCAAAUUUUAAAUCUUGUUAGGUUUACCUAAACCGAGUUGUAAUUUGAAGAAGCGUUUUCUGCGUAGUUGGGUCCAGCCUAAGGCCUUAAUGGAUGAGGGCAAUCUAUGGAGGGGUGUGAUAUAUUCCGUCGAUUGAUCAUGCUUAACGAUACGCUUCCAAGAGUCAGGUGUUGGCAUUGCAACUAAUUGGGAAGUAAUUUCCUUAAGCUAUAACGGCGAGGACCGAUGCAACAGAUCCGUGGAGAAAG
RNAcentral lists this ribosomal RNA (1060 nucleotides) under uncultured Rhizophagus. Its description in RNAcentral is "eukaryotic LSU rRNA". The stretch from base 1 to 239 matches the Rfam family "Eukaryotic small subunit ribosomal RNA", at positions 1595 to 1831 of the family's 1831-position model. Lineage: Eukaryota; Fungi; Glomeromycota; Glomeromycetes; Glomerales; Glomeraceae. The record is from RNAcentral.